AUACGGAAGGCAGCAGUGAGGAAUAUUGGACAAUGGGCGCAAGCCUGAUCCAGCCAUGCCGCGUGCAGGAUGACGGUCCUAUGGAUUGUAAACUGCUUUUGUACGAGAAGAAACACUCCGACGUGUCGGAGCUUGACGGUAUCGUAAGAAUAAGGAUCGGCUAACUCCGUGCCAGCAGCCGCGGUAAUACGGAGGAUCCAAGCGUUAUCCGGAAUCAUUGGGUUUAAAGGGUCCGUAGGCGGCUUUAUAAGUCAGUGGUGAAAUCUCCCCGCUCAACGGGGAAACGGCCAUUGAUACUGUAAGGCUUGAAUUAUUAGGAAGUAACUAGAAUAUGUAGUGUAGCGGUGAAAUGCUUAGAGAUUACAUGGAAUACCAAUUGCGAAGGCAGGUUACUACUAAUGGAUCGACGCUGAUGGACGAAAGCGUGGGUAGCGAACAGGAUUAGAUACCCGGGUAGUCCU
This 461-nucleotide ribosomal RNA is filed under the name uncultured bacterium. RNAcentral's name for it is "bacterial SSU rRNA". It matches the Rfam family "Bacterial small subunit ribosomal RNA", at positions 339 to 797 of the family's 1533-position model. The record is from RNAcentral.